AUCGCUUUGAUGGUCAAAAUCAACCAGAAUGAUCACAUUUUGCUUAUAUAAAUCACACACCAUAAAAUUAACUUUUAUACUGUAAAACUGAGUUUUACAGUCAAAAGACAGUUUUUUUAUUGCAGCAUGCAUCCUUUAUUAUUUUUAAGCAUGACACCAACAUUAGUCAUUCUAAAUUGCUAAAAUGUAAACCUAGAUGAUCAAUUUCAAAAUUUCAAAUAGUUCGGGUAUAAAACAAAAUUUUGAAAUCUCGCAGCCACCAUACGCAAAUAGCCAAAAGCUCCGGCAGUUCCAGUACAUUCAACCCUUACAAACAGAGAGAGAGAGAGAGAGAGAGAGAGUUCCUUCACCUCUGCUAACAAACAUCUCCAAUGCUUAUAUGCUGCACAACCAAAAACAGAAACAGGAGACUAACAAGGGUAUGAUAUCUUGUUUGCAAAACUUCCCAGAUCAUCAUCAUCACACAAUCAUACUCUCCCCCUUAAAUUCCACCAAAAAUAUAUACAAAAGCCGACAGCAAAUAUCUACAAUCUUAUAAACUCCUAAAAUCAGCAGCAGAACAAGAUAUUCAAGCUUACCUGCAAAUAACAAAAAUAGAACCGCUACAAAGAAUCCCUUUUCUUUACACAUUGCCAGUAAAUCUGCUGAGUUGUUAAUCAUUUUAAUCAUUUGCUCGCGGAUCCAAUGCAGAUGCAUCUAACUGAAGCUUUUGGAGGAUACAGCUCAAUCAAACCACCAAAUGAUUNUUUUUAAAAAAUAAAAUAUAAAUUUUUAAAUAACAAAGGGAGAAAAUGAAAAUGUAUUAACAGAAAUUUUUUCUUUAAUUUAGCCUAAUCAAAAAUACAUACCCCAGCAAUAUAAAUGAGUUCUCAUAAUAUCAAAAAUCGCUUUGAUGGUCAAAAUCAACCAGAAUUAUCACAUUUUGCUUAUAUUAUAAAAAUCACACACCAUAAAAUUAACUUUUAUACUGCAAAACUGAGUUUUACAGUCAAAAGACAGUUUUUUUAUUGCAGCAUGCAUCCUUUAUUAUUUUUAAGCAUGACACCAAUAUUAGUCAUUCUAAAUUGCUAAAAUGAAAACCUCGAUGAUCAAUUUCAAAAUUUCAAUAGUUCAGGUAUAAAACAAAAAUCUCGCAGCCACCAUACGCAAAUAGCCAAAAGCUCCGGCAGUUCCGGUACAUUCAACCCUUACAAACAGAGAGAGAGAGAGAGAGAGAGAGAGAGAGAGAGAGAGUUCCUUCACCUCUGCUGACAAACAUCUCCAAUGCUUAUACGCUGCACAACCAAAAACAGAAACAGGAGACUAACAAGGGCAUGAUAUCUUGUUUGCAAAACUUCCCAGAUCCUCAUCAUCACGCAAUCAUACUCUCCCCCUUAAAUUCCACCAAAAAUAUAUACAAAAGCCGACGGCAAAUAUCUACAAUCUUAUAAACUCCUAAAAUCAGCAGCAGAACAAGAUAUUCAAGCUUACCUGCAAAUAACAAAAAUAGAACUGCUACAAAGAAUCCCUUUUCUUUACACAUAGCCAGUAAAUCUGCAGAGCUGUUAAUCAUUUUAAUCAUUUGCUCGCGGAUCCAAUGCAGAUGCAUCUAACUGAAGCUUUUGGAGGAUACAGCUCAAUCAAACCACCAAAUGAUUUCACAAAAAAUGUUAUUAUAUAGUGGCUAAGAAACUCGAUUUACCCAUAAAUAAAUGACAAUAAUGUAGCUCUUCCUGAAAAUUUCCCAUAGCAACAAAUUUCUCAUUGUACACUGGCAACUGUUAAAGACUAAACAAAAUGCAUAAAAUUUUUUAAGACUCCUGUUUCCUCUUGCAAAAGAGGAAAAAGAGUUAAAAAUGUCAAUCUUUGGUGCCGACGAAGGCAAAACUAUAGAACUAUGUCCGCAAUUUGCAAACUCAUCUAAUAUAUAAAAUUUAUAACCAUCAGUGUCUACAAAUAACAGUGUUAUGUAAAUAGCAGGCCCCACCACAAAAGCAAGAAUCAGUAGCCAAAAUUUCCCUAGGACUCCCUAGUAAGUGACCUGAGGAAAUGGUUCAUCACUAUGUACAACCUCAAGUGUUUCCGAGAGUUCUCUACUUCGGUAGAUUGGAUAAGAAAAUCUUUUCUGCUCCAACAGUUGCAAGAGUCUAUCAAAGAGCAGAUAUUAAGCAACUGUCGGAUCAAACACGAGCACUUACGAAGGCAUUUUACAACACAGGUUCGGUUAAAAAGUUGAACCAAAGUUGCUGAGGACAAGAAAAGUAUACACAAAAAAGAAAUUUAUGGAAAAGACGGAUUAGAAUACCAACGAAUGCUUAAAGGCUUUACACGUGAAAUGAAAACAGAUGCAUUCGUAACCGAAAGCACAUAAGAUAAAAAAAUAUAAUUGGAACAAAGAAAAUUCAAAAACUAGUUCUUUCAAGGGCACUUUGGAAAACUAAUUGGGUUAAAAAGAUAAGAUACAUAAUCUAAUCAGAAGGAAGAAAAUCCAAAAAUUAGUUCUUACAAUGGCUCUUUGGAAAACAGGUUCAGUUAAAAAGAGGAACCUGAAUUGCCACAGAUGAGAAAUCUAUUUGAGUUUAAUAGAUGAAAAUGGACCAACGAAGAGGAGGAAUGUUUCUAAAGCUACUGCGAGUGAAAAAACAUUUCAGAUAAAUAAUACAAUCAAAAGACAGAAAAAUCCAGAAACUAGUUGCACAUAUUCCUAUCCAAGAAGCUGACCAGGAAAUAUAAGUACUCCCACUUCUGAGACUUCAAUUCAAC
This 2742-nucleotide long non-coding RNA is filed under the name Ananas comosus (pineapple). RNAcentral describes it as "long non-coding RNA (ACOM_LNC029788)". The record is from RNAcentral. Lineage: Eukaryota; Viridiplantae; Streptophyta; Magnoliopsida; Poales; Bromeliaceae.